AGAGUUUGAUCCUGGCUCAGAAUCAACGCUGGCGGCGUGCCUAACACAUGCAAGUCGAACGCGAGAGGGGCUUCGGCCCUGAUUGAGUGGCAAACGGGUGAGUAACGCGUGGGUGACCUACCUUCGAGUGGGGGAUAACGUUUCGAAAGGAACGCUAAUACCGCAUGACAUCCUGUCUUUGGACAGAUGGAGAUCAAAGCCGGGGAUCGCAAGACCUGGCGCUUGAAGAGGGGCCCGCGUCCCAUUAGCUAGUUGGCGGUGUAAUGGACCACCAAGGCGACGAUGGGUAGCUGGUCUGAGAGGAUGGUCAGCCACACUGGGACUGAGAUACGGCCCAGACUCCUACGGGAGGCAGCAGUCGAGAGGCUUUGGCAAUGGGGGAAACCCUGACCAAGCGACGCCGCGUGGAGGAUGAAGGCCCUUGGGUUGUAAACUCCUUUUGUCGGGGAAGAAAUGCGAUCAGGUGAACAAUCUGGUCGUUUGACGGUACCCGGCGAAUAAGCUCCGGCUAACUCCGUGCCAGCAGCCGCGGUAACACGGGGGGAGCAAGCGUUGUUCGGAAUCACUGGGCGUAAAGGGCGUGUAGGCGGUUCAGUAAGUGGAAUGUGAAAUGCCCCGGCUUACCCGGGGACCUGCAUCCCAAACUGCUGGACUUGAGUACGGGAGAGGAUGAGGGAAUUCCUGGUGUAGCGGUGAAAUGCGUAGAUAUCAGGAGGAACACCGGUGGCGAAGGCGCUCAUCUGGCCCGAUACUGACGCUGAGGCGCGAAAGCUAGGGGAGCGAACGGGAUUAGAUACCCCGGUAGUCCUAGCCGUAAACGGUGAGCACU
Molecule: ribosomal RNA, 829 nt
Filed under: uncultured Latescibacterota bacterium
Lineage: Bacteria; Pseudomonadati; Candidatus Latescibacterota
Description: bacterial SSU rRNA
Rfam family: Bacterial small subunit ribosomal RNA
Source: RNAcentral